CCCAUUGCCAUGCACUCACGUGCCCCUUUUUUUCUUUCUUUUUGUUUUGUGUGAGCCACUAGUUGGGCCGUAAAUGGACUUUGGGCUCGGACUUUGGGUUUUAGGCUUGAUCUUGAACUUGGUGUUUGAUUAAAUUUUUAUAAUUGAUGACUCCUGAAAAAAAACAUAAAAAAUAUCAAAUUCAAAAUAAUAGAGAUUAAAUAUCA
RNAcentral lists this long non-coding RNA (206 nucleotides) under Elaeis guineensis (African oil palm). RNAcentral describes it as "long non-coding RNA (EGUI_LNC038822)". The record is from RNAcentral. Lineage: Eukaryota; Viridiplantae; Streptophyta; Magnoliopsida; Arecales; Arecaceae.